GGCCCAGUUGCGGAUGGUCCGCACCUGCAUUGUAUUGGCGGUAUCUUGGUGUGAGUGAAGCUUUACUGCAGGCAUCGCUUGUUCGAUUCGAGCCUGGGCCA
Non-coding RNA from Mycena polygramma, 101 nucleotides. Lineage: Eukaryota; Fungi; Basidiomycota; Agaricomycetes; Agaricales; Mycenaceae. The record is from the annotation of a GenBank genome assembly.